This 56-nucleotide transfer RNA is filed under the name Araucaria biramulata. RNAcentral's name for it is "partial tRNA-Cys". It matches the Rfam family "tRNA", at positions 16 to 71 of the family's 71-position model. From Rfam's summary of the family: Transfer RNA (tRNA) molecules are approximately 80 nucleotides in length. Their secondary structure includes four short double-helical elements and three loops (D, anti-codon, and T loops). Lineage: Eukaryota; Viridiplantae; Streptophyta; Pinopsida; Araucariales; Araucariaceae. The record is from RNAcentral.
UGGUAAGGCAGGGGACUGCAAAUCCCCCAUCCCCAGUUCAAAUCUGGGUGUCGCCU